CCUACGGGAGGCAGCAGUGAGGAAUAUUGGUCAAUGGACGAGAGUCUGAACCAGCCAAGUAGCGUGAAGGAUGACUGCCCUAUGGGUUGUAAACUUCUUUUAUAUGGGAAUAAAAUGUUCCACGUGUGGGAUUUUGUAUGUACCAUAUGAAUAAGGAUCGGCUAACUCCGUGCCAGCAGCCGCGGUAAUACGGAGGGUCCGAGCGUUAUCCGGAUUUAUUGGGUUUAAAGGGAGCGUAGGUGGAUUGUUAAGUCAGUUGUGAAAGUUUGCGGCUCAACCGUAAAAUUGCAGUUGAAACUGGCAGUCUUGAGUACAGUAGAGGUAGGCGGAAUUCGUAGUGUAGCGGUGAAAUGCUUAGAUAUCACGAAGAACUCCGAUUGCGAAGGCAGUUCACUGGACUGCAACUGACACUGAGGCUCGAAAGUGUGGGUAUCAAACAGGAUUAGAUACCCGGGUAGUC
This 460-nucleotide ribosomal RNA is filed under the name uncultured bacterium. Its description in RNAcentral is "partial 16S ribosomal RNA". It matches the Rfam family "Bacterial small subunit ribosomal RNA", at positions 338 to 795 of the family's 1533-position model. The record is from RNAcentral.